CGGCCAGCCCCGAGCGGCUCCUUCAGCCCCUGAGAACUUUAAGCCCCACUGUGUGAGACAAAAAGAAAAGUACAUGGGCCACACAUGGCCCUCGAAGACGCCUGGGGGAUCAGCAACCACGUACUUGCGGGUCCUGCAGAGGGAGCCAGGCAAGAAGGAGCAACAGGCUGGUCACGCAAGGGUGGUGUCAAGAGCAGAUCCUGGGGAUACCCCAAAGCAGACAGGGUCUCACUAAGGAGGCCAGGCUGGCCUGGAACUCUUGAUCCUCCUGUCUCAGGUGGGUGUCACCUUGCCACAUUUCCACCUUUAGUCUAAUGACAUUCUUGCUAAAGAAUCAGGUGACCAGAUGUUACCUGGGGUGGAGGAAGAGGGGAGGAAUUUGGUUAGAUAGGAAGGGUGAUCAGAUACUGAAGUGGGGGGAGGUUGAGCCCAAAGGGCUCUUGGGACCCACAAGGAGCCUGUGGUUGAGAACCAUGCAACCAUCAGCUGCUCAUCCGGGUUCAAACUGCUGUUGAUUUUGGGUUAGGAGUCACACCCCAUGCCCGGCGAGAGCUCAUGACAUGACGUGUUGCUGUGGUUCAGGUCAGGAGGUACCCCCAGAAGUCUGUGUGUUCAAGGUUGGUCUCCAUCAUGGUGCUAUUGGGGGGACGUGGUGGAGACUUUAAGAGGCGGGGCUUAGCUCCUUGGGGGCGUGGCCUUGCCUGGGUCAGGGAGACUCUGGCAACCCUUCCUCUCUUCUUCGCUUUCUGGCCAGCAGUGAGUGAUUUGUAACAGGAGCUCAAACUGCUUUUGCUGAAAGGCACUGACUCCUUACUUAGGCCCAGGAGUUAACUAAAAACAGGAGAAGCUUGGCUUCCCUGCCUCCAUUUUGUGUCUGUCUAUGCCCUAAGCCAGUCUCUUUGCAGUUACUUUGCAAUCACCCUGGAUUCCAGAAAGACAGGUAACAGCUUCAUGGCAAGGGAGAAAAACUACACCCAACUGUAGACCUUCCUCAGGAUGGACCACCUGCGGGGCUCUGCUCGUAGAGCAAGGACUGAGAUACUGGUCAGCCAGAACACACCUGGGACUGGGACUGUUUAUUUAUACCUUGUCCCUGUCCCCAGUUGUCUAUUUAAACCCAUAACUCAUGUCUGUCCCCCGAAGAUGGCUGAGGAUGGACUGAGUGCUUACUCUGUCUCUUCCCACAGCGUGUUCCGAGCUGGGUAUAAACUCCUUUCUCUGUCUUCACCAUGCCUUUUUAUUUGAUGUUUAAGGGGUGGGUGGCCGGACCUGGCAUGUGGGAUCUCAGGAGUUUGGGUCUUGGGUGCAAAAGUCCGGUUUCACUUUCACUCUGCCACAUGCUUCGGCCAUGAUGCACUGACGUGUCACGGGGCCACCUGACCAUGGACUGGAGCCUCAGCCACCAUGAGCCCAGAUUAACCUUUCCUCUGUGAGCUGAUCGCCUCAGGUGCUUGUCACCAUAAUGGACAGCUGACUCACACACGCAUCUGGGUACUCUAAGAAGACUCGGGGUUGGGAGGGGGAGCUCAAGUGUGACAUAUUUGAUGCAUUGUAAGAACCUGUGUAAAUGCCACACGACAUCCAGCACGACAAUAAAAAAACAAAGUCUCAGGGCUCCAAGGAGCUUUUGAGGAAGUGGAUUAUAGUCAUUGAUUAUAUUUACCACACUACCAAUUAAAACAGAAAAAAUUAAAGCAUUCAUUAACAUUUAAAUAUAAUAUGUAGUAGUUAGCCUAACCUGACCUUUAAAAUGAAAAAUAACUAUUUUUCAUGAAACUGUUUUUAAAGCUAUUUAAAUAAAUAACAUAAGGCAAUAUAAAAUAAAUAAGUAUCCAUU
Castor canadensis (American beaver) is the source of this 1837-nucleotide non-coding RNA. Lineage: Eukaryota; Metazoa; Chordata; Mammalia; Rodentia; Castoridae. The record is from RefSeq and is a predicted model, not a curated record.